GCCUACAGCCAUACUAUCCUAAAUGCACCUAUCUCAUCUGAUCUUCAAAGCUAAGUAGGGUCCAGUGUGGCUAGUGUUUAGAUGGGAGACCACCUAGGAAUACCAGGUUCAAUAGGUU
Molecule: ribosomal RNA, 118 nt
Filed under: Jaculus jaculus (lesser Egyptian jerboa)
Lineage: Eukaryota; Metazoa; Chordata; Mammalia; Rodentia; Dipodidae
Source: RNAcentral